AACGAACGCUGGCGGCAGGCUUAACACAUGCAAGUCGAACGCGUGUAGCAAUACACGAGUGGCGCACGGGUGAGUAACGCGUGGAUAUCUGCCUUUUGGUUCGGAAUAACCCCGGGAACUGGGGCUAAUACCGGAUGGUUCCUUCGGGAUAAAGAUUUAUCGCCAAAAGAUGAGUCCGCGUACGAUUAGCUAGUUGGUGAGGUAAUGGCUCACCAAGGCGACGAUCGUUAGCUGGUCNGAGAGGACGAUCAGCCACACUGGGACUGAGACACGGCCCAGACUCCUACGGGAGGCAGCAGUGGGGAAUAUUGGACAAUGGGGGCAACCCUGAUCCAGCCAUGCCGCGUGAGUGAUGAAGGCCUUC
Molecule: ribosomal RNA, 364 nt
Filed under: uncultured bacterium
Lineage: Bacteria
Description: bacterial SSU rRNA
Rfam family: Bacterial small subunit ribosomal RNA
Source: RNAcentral